Molecule: ribosomal RNA, 467 nt
Filed under: Streptococcus suis
Lineage: Bacteria; Bacillati; Bacillota; Bacilli; Lactobacillales; Streptococcaceae
Description: bacterial SSU rRNA
Rfam family: Bacterial small subunit ribosomal RNA
Source: RNAcentral
UCCUGGCUCAGGACGAACGCUGGCGGCGUGCCUAAUACAUGCAAGUAGAACGCUGAAGUCUGGUGCUUGCACUAGACGGAUGAGUUGCGAACGGGUGAGUAACGCGUAGGUAACCUGCCUCAUAGCGGGGGAUAACUAUUGGAAACGAUAGCUAAUACCGCAUAACAGUAUUUACCGCAUGGUAGAUACUUGAAAGGAGCAAUUGCUUCACUAUGAGAUGGACCUGCGUUGUAUUAGCUAGUUGGUGAGGUAACGGCUCACCAAGGCAUCGAUACAUAGCCGACCUGAGAGGGUGAUCGGCCACACUGGGACUGAGACACGGCCCAGACUCCUACGGGAGGCAGCAGUAGGGAAUCUUCGGCAAUGGGGGCAACCCUGACCGAGCAACGCCGCGUGAGUGAAGAAGGUUUUCGGAUCGUAAAGCUCUGUUGUAAGAGAAGAACUGUGAGAAGAGUGGAAAGUUCUCA